This 1622-nucleotide long non-coding RNA is filed under the name Homo sapiens (human). RNAcentral describes it as "SOX2 overlapping transcript". Lineage: Eukaryota; Metazoa; Chordata; Mammalia; Primates; Hominidae. The record is from RNAcentral.
GUAAAAGGGGACGCGGAGGAGAAGGAAAGUCGCUCAAGCAGUGGACAGAGCGGAGAAAGCGACUUCGGUUCAGCCUGAGAAAACUCCUGAGCAUGUGCGAAAAAGAAAAGAAGAAAAGAAAAGUAAAGAAAAGAAAAAAGGAAAAAGGGCAAGCUCCUGAGUGGAUCUCUCAGGGAGCCACCAGACAGCCGCAGAGAGAAGAAGCUGCCCAAGAAUGGAAAGGAAGAAAUAUAUCACAUCAUCUGUCUGUCCACAGGCUUUCCUUGGGGCUUAUGAAGAUUUUGACAUUACUGAAAUUAUUGGAAUUACUUUGAGGAACUUUGCCUGUUGAGUGUCUUAUAUGCACAUAAGAACUUUUCCCAUUUGCAGGUGAAAUUUGUAUUUGUUUAUGAAAAUAAUUGAUUGGAUUGAAACAACAUCGGAAUUCAGUUGGCUUUUAGUUUGUAUAUUUACUGUACUUAAUGUGCCAUGGGUUGUGAUUUUGAAUAGAAUCAUAGACAUCCUGUGCAUUUUGGAAGCUUGCCACUGGGAAAGGCUUAAUAUUUGUAAAUUAAUAGUUUGCACUCCUCAAAAAGUGGUUAGGGCAAUAAUUGAAUGUUAGCAAUAAAGCUUAAAAUUUUCCAUCUUUUGAGAUUUCUCCCUCUUUUAAUAAGUAACUUUGUCAAGCAACAUUCUCUAUUGAAGGGAAGAAAACUUUCAAUUGGGUCUUAAUAUACUAUUCACCUUUCCCUUUAUUAAUAUAAAGAUUAUGUUUAGUACUGUGUUUAACAAGAAAUGUACUUACACAAGUAUUUAAUCUUAGCUUUCUUAAGGAAAUAGGCAAAUAUCUUAGUUACUAAUAUUAAAUAUAUUAAAGCUUACACAUAAAGCACUAAAGGAUGUCAGAAUUGAGAAUUUUUUAAUGAAAGAAAAAAUAUUUUGAUGAUUAAUAAAUUAAAAUGUUCUGGGCUGAUUUAUAGAGAAAUAUUCCACCAAAGGUAUCAGUCUUCAUGUCAACUUGCCCUUCCUAACAGUUCUAUAAUUAUCAUUGAGUUUUAAAAAUGUUUAAAUUGGAUUUUCAUGUCUAGGAUUAAGUGUAUAUUAUAGAUAAAAAUGUAGAAUAUGUAUAUAUUUUGUAUUUUCAUGUGAAAUAUAAUCUCUAAUACUACAUAAAUUGUAAUGUAUUACAUUGCUAAUGGAAAUAAAAAUAUGCUGAUACUUUUCUGGGAGGGAGGUUGUUUCACUGAUCAGAUAUUUUUCCUGUGAGAGGGAGAACAUAGUGAUUAAAUACUAUUGCUCUGGCAAGAAAAAUAACAGCAAACCAACUAAACCAAAAAAAGCAAGUAAAGAACAAAACAAAAAACAAUUAAAAUUACAUUAAUGUAACAAUAAUCCGUCAAAUUCCACAGCUUAUUAUUGAAAUUUUCCAUACUGAGAUUUAUUUUUGUUUGCAAUAUCCGAUAUACAGUUGUCUUGGAUAUAGAUUUAUAUUUUAAAGUAGUUAGCAUGCAGUUGACCAAGCCUUUGUUCAUUUGAGGGAGUAUGUGUGAAGGGUUAGAACUAAAGGAUAAAUUAACUCUGUUGAAUUAUUUCUGAAGUUGUUUGCUUCCAGUGAAAAACAAGAAACAUGAUUUGGUAAUACA